AAGAACCAACAGGGAUUGCCCUAGUAACGGCGAGUGAAGCGGCAACAGCUCAAAUUUGAAAUCUGGCCUUCGGGUCCGAGUUGUAAUUUGUAGAGGAUGCUUUUGGCGCGGUGCCUUCCGAGUUCCCUGGAACGGGACGCCUUAGAGGGUGAGAGCCCCGUACGGUUGGACACCAAGCCUCUGUAAAGCUCCUUCGACGAGUCGAGUAGUUUGGGAAUGCUGCUCUAAAUGGGAGGUAAAUUUCUUCUAAAGCUAAAUAUUGGCCAGAGACCGAUAGCGCACAAGUAGAGUGAUCGAAAGAUGAAAAGCACUUUGAAAAGAGGGUUAAAUAGCACGUGAAAUUGUUGAAAGGGAAGCGUUUGCGACCAGACUUUUUCCUAGCGGAUCAUCCGGUGUUUUCACCGGUGCACUUUGCUAGGUUAAGGCCAGCAUCGGUUUCUGUAGGGGGAUAAAAGCUUGGGGAAUGUAGCUCCCUCGGGAGUGUUAUAGCCUCUUGCAUAAUACCCUUACGGGGACCGAGGACCGCGCUUUUGCAAGGAUGCUGGCGUAAUGGUUGUCAACGACCCGUCUUGAAACACGGACCAAGGAGUCGAACAUUUGUGCGAGUGUUUGGGUGUUAAACCCUCACGCGUAAUGAAAGUGAACGGAGGUGAGAGCCCUUACGGGUGCAUCAUCGACCGAUCCUGAUGUCUUCGGAUGGAUUUGAGUAAGAGCAUAACUGUUCGGACCCGAAAGAUGGUGAACUAUGCGUGGAUAGGGUGAAGCCAGAGGAAACUCUGGUGGAGGCUCGCAGCGGUUCUGACGUGCAAAUCGAUCGUCAAAUCUGCGCAUGGGGGCGAAAGACUUAUCGAACCA
Molecule: ribosomal RNA, 855 nt
Filed under: Xylaria arbuscula
Lineage: Eukaryota; Fungi; Ascomycota; Sordariomycetes; Xylariales; Xylariaceae
Description: partial large subunit ribosomal RNA
Rfam family: Eukaryotic large subunit ribosomal RNA
Source: RNAcentral